GUCCUAGCCCUAAACGAUGGGUACUAAGUAGAGGAGACUCCGAUGUUUCUCUGCCGGAGCUAAUGUAUUAAGUACCCCGCCUGGGGAGUAUGGUCGCAAGGCUAAAACUCAAAGGAAUUGACGGGGCUCACACAAGCGGUGGAGCAUGUUGUUCAAUUCGAAGCAACGCGAAGAACCUUACCUGGGUUUGACAUGCUUGGGACAGCCUAUGAAAGUAGGUUUCCUCUAUGAGGCCCUUGCACAGGUGUUGCAUGGCUGUCGU
This 262-nucleotide ribosomal RNA is filed under the name uncultured bacterium. Its description in RNAcentral is "partial 16S ribosomal RNA". It matches the Rfam family "Bacterial small subunit ribosomal RNA", at positions 793 to 1055 of the family's 1533-position model. The record is from RNAcentral.